UACGUAGGGUGCGAGCGUUGUCCGGAAUUACUGGGCGUAAAGGGCGCGUAGGCGGCCCUUCUAAGUCAGACGUGAAAUCCCCCGGCUUAACCUGGGAACUGCGUCUGAUACUGGGAGGCUUGAGUAUGGGAGAGGGAUGUAGAAUUCCAGGUGUAGCGGUGAAAUGCGUAGAUAUCUGGAGGAAUACCGGUGGCGAAGGCGGCAUCCUGGACCAUAACUGACGCUGAGGCGCGAAAGCUAGGGGAGCAAACGGG
This 254-nucleotide ribosomal RNA is filed under the name uncultured bacterium. Its description in RNAcentral is "partial 16S ribosomal RNA". It matches the Rfam family "Bacterial small subunit ribosomal RNA", at positions 524 to 776 of the family's 1533-position model. The record is from RNAcentral.